Molecule: unclassified non-coding RNA, 160 nt
Filed under: Oryza sativa (Asian cultivated rice)
Lineage: Eukaryota; Viridiplantae; Streptophyta; Magnoliopsida; Poales; Poaceae
Description: partial microRNA MIR455b-11 precursor
Source: RNAcentral
UUAAUACUCCCUCCGUUUCACAAUGUAAGUCAUUCUAGCAUUCCCCACAUUCAUAUUGAUGUUAAUGAAUCUAGAGAUAUAUAUCUAUCUAGAUUCAUUAACAUCAAUAUGAAUGUGGGAAAUGCUAGAAUGACUUACAUUGUGAAACGGAGGGAGUAAC